AAGCAAAAAGUGAAAAUUCACCUACGGUUUCGACCCGUAACUUGAUGGAAAUAAUCUGUCUUUGCCUU
RNAcentral lists this transfer RNA (68 nucleotides) under Cocculina subcompressa. Its description in RNAcentral is "tRNA-Arg". Lineage: Eukaryota; Metazoa; Mollusca; Gastropoda; Cocculinidae. The record is from RNAcentral.